Molecule: ribosomal RNA, 694 nt
Filed under: uncultured bacterium
Lineage: Bacteria
Description: bacterial SSU rRNA
Rfam family: Bacterial small subunit ribosomal RNA
Source: RNAcentral
AACGCUAGCUACAGGCUUAACACAUGCAAGUCGCGGGGCAUCAUGAAUUUAGCUUGCUAAGUUUGAUGGCGACCGGCGCACGGGUGAGUAACGCGUAUCCAACCUUCCUCUCUCCACGGGAUAGCCCGUCGAAAGGCGGAUUAAUACCGUAUGCUGUCACCAGAUGGCAUCAGAAAGUGACGAAAGGUUUAGCGGAGAGAGAUGGGGAUGCGUCCGAUUAGCUUGUUGGCGGGGUAACGGCCCACCAAGGCGACGAUCGGUAGGGGUUCUGAGAGGAAGGUCCCCCACAUUGGAACUGAGACACGGUCCAAACUCCUACGGGAGGCAGCAGUGAGGAAUAUUGGUCAAUGGACGGAAGUCUGAACCAGCCAAGUAGCGUGCAGGAUGACGGCCCUAUGGGUUGUAAACUGCUUUUAUGCGGGGAUAAAGUGGGCUACGUGUAGCCUAUUGCAGGUACCGCAUGAAUAAGGACCGGCUAAUUCCGUGCCAGCAGCCGCGGUAAUACGGAAGGUCCGGGCGUUAUCCGGAUUUAUUGGGUUUAAAGGGAGCGUAGGCCGGCUUUUAAGCGUGUUGUGAAAUGCCGCGGCUCAACCGUGGCACUGCAGCGCGAACUGGAGGCCUUGAGUGCGCGGGAGGUAGGCGGAAUUCGUGGUGUAGCGGUGAAAUGCUUAGAUAUCACGAAGAACUCCGAUUG